GACGAACGCUGGCGGCGUGCCUAAUACAUGCAAGUGGGACGCAAGGAAACACACUGUGCCUGCACACCGUGUUUUCUUGAGUCGCGAACGGGUGAGUAACGCGUAGGUAACCUGCCUAUUAGCGGGGGAUAACUAUUGGAAACGAUAGCUAAUACCGCAUAAUAUUAAUUAUUGCAUGAUAAUUGAUUGAAAGAUGCAAGCGCAUCACUAGUAGAUGGACCUGCGUUGUAUUAGCUAGUUGGUAAGGUAAGAGCUUACCAAGGCGACGAUACAUAGCCGACCUGAGAGGGUGAUCGGCCACACUGGGACUGAGACACGGCCCAGACUCCUACGGGAGGCAGCAGUAGGGAAUCUUCGGCAAUGGACGAAAGUCUGACCGAGCAACGCCGCGUGAGUGAAGAAGGUUUUCGGAUCGUAAAGCUCUGUUGUAAGUCAAGAACGUGUGUGAGAGUGGAAAGUUCACACAGUGACGGUAGCUUACCAGAAAGGGACGGCUAACUACGUG
This 505-nucleotide ribosomal RNA is filed under the name uncultured bacterium. RNAcentral describes it as "partial 16S ribosomal RNA". It matches the Rfam family "Bacterial small subunit ribosomal RNA", at positions 28 to 507 of the family's 1533-position model. The record is from RNAcentral.